Molecule: small RNA, 42 nt
Filed under: Arabidopsis thaliana (thale cress)
Lineage: Eukaryota; Viridiplantae; Streptophyta; Magnoliopsida; Brassicales; Brassicaceae
Description: ATSL006350
Source: RNAcentral
UGAAGAAAACAGAGAAGAAGGAGGGACGUUCGCUUAAACACG